AGCAGCCGCGGUAAUUCCAGCUCCAAUAGCGUAUAUUAAAGUUGUUGCAGUUAAAAAGCUCGUAGUUGAAUUUCGGGACCAUCAUGUCGGUCGUGCCUCGGUACGUACUGGCAUUGUUGGUUUCUCCCUUCUGACGAACCACGAUGUCAUUUAUUUGGUGUUGUGGGGAAUCAGGACUGUUACUUUGAAAAAAUUAGAGUGUUUAAAGCAGGCUCACGCUUGAGUACAUUAGCAUGGAAUAAUGAAAUAGGACGUUUGAUUCUAUUUUGUUGGUUUCUAGGAUCGACGUAAUGAUUAAUAGGGAUAGUUGGGGGCAUUAGUAUUCAAUUGUCAGAGGUGAAAUUCUUGGAUUUAUUGAAGACUAACUACUGCGAAAGCAUUUGCCAAGGAUGUUUUCAUUAAUCAAGAACGAAAGUUAGGGGAUCGAAGACGAUCAGAUACCGUCGUAGUCUUAACCAUAAACUAUGCCGACUAGGGAUCGGAUGAUGUUAAUUUUUAAUGACUCAUUCGGCGCCUUAAC
Molecule: ribosomal RNA, 520 nt
Filed under: uncultured Glomus
Lineage: Eukaryota; Fungi; Glomeromycota; Glomeromycetes; Glomerales; Glomeraceae
Description: SSU rRNA
Rfam family: Eukaryotic small subunit ribosomal RNA
Source: RNAcentral